This 593-nucleotide unclassified non-coding RNA is filed under the name Hevea brasiliensis (rubber tree). The record is from RNAcentral. Lineage: Eukaryota; Viridiplantae; Streptophyta; Magnoliopsida; Malpighiales; Euphorbiaceae.
AAAGCUUCAGACAUUUCCUGUCGCUUGAAAAAUCCGAAACCCUAAUUCGAAUUCUGUAGGCCGCUGAACCGGAGAAAUCAAAAGGAAUAUUAAUGGAGAACGAGAUUAAUAUUGUAAAUGACGGGGCAUCGGGGGACGAUCAGACCACAGAGGAUUUUUUUGAUGUUGACCAGCGGGAGAACGAUGCAAAGGUCGCGGAGCUGAACCAUAGAAUUGAGGUUUUGGAGCGUGAAAAGAAAAAAUUGGUUGAUGAAAAUGAAGAAAUCAAAGAUAAGAUUAAAAGGUUGUCAGCGGAGAUUGAAGGGUUGAAGAGUGAAGAGGGGAGGCUGAUAGAACAACUGAAAGAAAUGGAGAAACAAGUUGAACGUUCUGAAGAGGGAAAUAAGGUGGUAGAGUCGGUUGCGGCAAGGGCACUGGAGCUUGAGACUGAAGUCUCGAGGCUACAGCAUGAUUUGAUAUCUGCAAUGAAUGGAGCUGAUGAGGCGAAUGCUGAAGUUGCGGAGUUGAGGAAAAAUUUGGGGGAAAAGGGAGUGAAGGUUGCAGCUCUGGAGGAAGAGUUGGAAGCCCUGAAGAAAGCAAAGGCAGAGAGUGAA